GAUUCGACAAACAGUCGUUGGCAAAUCAUUGUACGGUGAACAUCGAGUUGCAGUGUUGUAAAGUGUUAAAUAAAAAGUCUAACCUAAUUGUGAAAUUGAGGUUAUGUGCUGAAAAUAGCUGAAAUUCCCAGUAAAGUCCGUUGGGACCUUUGUCUAUUGUAAUCAACACAGCCAUGAGUGGUGGAUAAGGAAGUUUAAAUAGACCACAAUGUGUGAGAGUGUGUGUGGAUCCAUUGUAGGUCACUUCUAAAGGCCAUGAUGCAAAUAGCACAAAGUGGUGUGACGCUGAAAAAGAAACAGGGUCUUUCAGCUAAAAUGUCAACGACUGGUUGUGGAAAACAUGAGAAACAUAAUCGUGUUUAUUGGUGAUAACAAAACUUCAUCCUCAUGUAUAAAACACAAAGCACAAUUUCUAACCAACAUUUGAUGAGCAGAUGUAGCAACUACUGGGUUGUACAGAAAAUAUAUAAAAAAAAGUAAAAUAAGUGACGCAGAGUGAGUUAUAAACAUCUUUUAAUUUAUCAACAAAGCACCCGUUUUGUUUCUCCUAACUACUUAAAACUACCACCACCAUUGCUCCAACUGUAAGCAAAUUCUACACAUUUUCAAGUACAUUACGUAGCUAAAUCUUCGUACGGUACGAGAGCUGUUUUAGUGAAUAGACAUUUUGCUUACGACCAACCAACCACGUUGGCAAACGGAGUUUUGUUGUGUAAGGGCGCAGUUGUCGUCAUCAACGUCUCAAAGAAAUCGAUAAUCAUCCAUUCAUCUCUACUAGACAUACGUACAUACAUACUAUAUGGAUUUCAUGAAAGAAAAACUUGGUAUUUAUGAAAUCUACUCUUAUAAAUCUAUGCCUUUUUACACAAAUUUCAGUACAAUUUAAACAAUCUUGGUGGAUGGAUAUCUCUUGAUAAUUCAUUCCAUUCAAUUACGACGUUGAGCUGUUAAACAUAUAUUUUCUAUUCCCCUAACAAGAAAAUUCUGGAAAUUUGUCGUUGUUUUUCUACUAUUCUUCUUCUAUGGGCUUCGGCGAAAAAUUCAACUGAAACUCGGAUAAAUUUGGCUGCGUGAACAAUUAACAUUACAUAUUAUUCGUAAGCGGUAUUAUCAUAUAUUUUCCAAAUAACUAUAUAAUUUUAGGAAUGCCUAUGCAAACAAAUCUAGCUACCCUAACCCAAUCUACAUAAACCCAACAUUUUAGGAAAUGACUGGAAUAUGCCGUAACGCAUUUGGCAAAAUGCAACAAUCUUAUUUCCAUGUCGGACAAAAUUACUAUCAACAUUUAUUUUUUAGGCAAACAAUUUUAAAAAUUCUCUAUAGCCCGUUUUUUGAACCAUUGAAAGUGACUGCAGCAACUGUUGCUUGAUUGGUGAAAUACAAUUUCAAGAACUUCUGGAGCAGCUGGAUAACAACUAAAGCCAUUGUUGUUUAAAGCAGCCAUUACAUAAAAUUAGCAGUACCACAAUAAUUCCCACAGCGAGAGACACCCACCCAUAAACAAGCUACAGGUUUUCUUUUAUAUUGUAAUGAAAAUUCUAAAUUUUUAGCAUUAUGACUCAGUUGAUCGGUGCCUGAGCAUAAUAUGAAAAUAUAGCAUCCCUACUUAUAUACACGAAGUUACCAAGUUACUGAUAAUAUGUGACGACACAAACAGUGUAAGAAAACAUGAAUUUUGUUUUAAGCAUUAAUUCAAUUUUUACAGACAUCUGAAAAAACAAAACUCUGAAACUGUGAGAGAGUGAUAUAUAACGUACAAGCGAUGUUUUGCACCUAGAUUCCCAGAUCAUGCAACAGGUCCUUUUGAACAUUAGACACUUAAAUAUUUGAUUAUAACCUUUUUAGCUGUUGAACGAACGUUCGGUCCCUGAGCAUCUUUGGUUGAAUCAUCCAGUCGGAACAAUUUCUUGAGCUAGCUUUGGCCAAAAGUGUAAGAAAGCAUGAAAUUGUGUUUACAACUAAUCAAAUUUUUACAGACAAGCGGUAUUGAAAACCUCGCUACGGGCAAAUUAGAUCCAUACACAUAUUACUGAAAGUAAAAUUACAAUCUCUGGAUUUCAAAUGGAGUUCAAAAGAUAAAUCACCACAAGGCAGGUUGACAUUUUAAGCAAAUCAAUGUUUGAUUUUGAUUUUUUAGCAUUAUGACUCAAAUGAACCGAACCGUUCCUGGGCGUUAUUGGGAGACACUUUUAAUCUGUAUUAAUCUUGUAUUUGGCGGCGUAUAACUCUUAAAACAGGCAAAUUGUAAUUUCUUUACAAAACAAAUAUUUAAAUUGAUUUUUAGCAUUAUGGACUCAGUUGAUCUGUGCCUGAGCCAUAAUUUGAAACAUACUAUUUUGUUGGGAUCACCUAGAUUCAGUUCUCGGUUACAUGGAUAUGCUUUAAGCUCAACAUUAACACACGAUACAUACAGGCAGGUGUUAAAUUUUUAAGAAAUUACACACAUUUAUUUGAUUUUUAGCAUUAUGCGACUCAGUUGAUCUGUGCCUGAGCCAUAAUUUGUCUUAGUAAUGAAUGUUUGGGGUUCACUUACUCUAGAGUAACACGAGUUGACGUUAACGCUUAUGAUGAUAAAAAAAAGUUUCCAUUGCAACAUGUGGCAAAUCGUGAUGAUGCACAAGAAGCAGGCAGGUGAUAAAUUUUACAAAUCACACAAAAAAUUCUGAUUUUUAGCAUUAUGAGACUCAGUUGAUCUGUGCCUGAGCCAUAAUUUGUUGUUAAGGACCAACAUCCACUCAUUAGUUGAUCGAGGAAGAUGUUUGGAAAUUUGGCUCUUGGAACUCUACAAUUUUCUAAUCCAUUUUAUUGAAGUGUAAGAAACAAUGAAAUUGUUUUUCCAACUAAUACCAUUUUUACAGACGAUUAUAUUUGUAACUGAGGCGACUUGCAACCGUUUUAAAGUUUUCCAAUAGUGUAUUGUCCUGUACCCAGCAUUAUUAGCUACUUCCAAGAAAUUGGUGCCUCGGCAGCAGAACUGAUUGUUACGAAGGCGAUCAAUCCUAUUGAUCUUUGCACAAACAUUUAUUUACCUAAAAGUGUAAGAAAACAAUGUGUUUGUUUUUACAACUAAUUCAAUUCUUACAGACAACGGCUGCAAUCUAAUCUCUAGACACGAUGACUUGAAUACUACUCCACUCCACACAAUAUUGUGAUGACGGCGUUUUUUUUAACAAAUACAAUUCUAAUAUUUUUUAGCAUUAUGACUCAGUUGAUCUGUACCUGAGGGCAUAAUUUUUGAACAUCAUAUAGGUAGAAAUCAGCAUGAUAUUUAAAAUCGACCACCUUGAUUACUCUAAAGAGCUACUAGAAUUUUUCCUGACAUAAAAGGUUAAACUGAAAAACGAAGCUGUUUAUUUCACAGGCUACAUACAGACAGGUGCUUACUUUUACCUUGAACUCAAUAUACCUUUUAUCAUCGUUUUAGCCCCCAAUGCACACAUUAUCUGCUGUAACAAUUGGUUGGCCCCAUAGCCAUCAAAACCAACUUUGCUACUACGUAAGGAUCUCUUAACAUUAUGUAUUCUUGACUUUAAAUUAUGUUUUUAUAUAAUAACGGCAACAGUUUGUAAAACAACCUUGCUGCGCAAAUAAUCUAUGAAUAUUUUCUAAAUUAAAUUAUAGAGAAAUAUAGAAAAAUUAAGUUGCUUGGUUGGACUCUACUAAGGAUCAAAACUGAAAAUACAAUUUAUGGCGUAAGAAAGUAGUAUCCCUUUGGUUUGCUAAUUCCAAUUGUAUUUUCCAGGCUAUAAACUAUUUUAAAUCUAAAAAGAAACUUUAUAGAAAACCAUGUGGUUUGGACUAGCAGACUCUACUAAGGAUCACAGAGACUUGAGAAAUUCUAAGAAAUCUGAAAAUACAAUUUAAGGCGUAAGAAAGUAUCCUAUUGGUUUCCUAAUUCCAAUUGUGUUUUACAGGCUAUAACAGAUUUUAACUCUUAAAAAAAAGAAACAUUCAAGCAGCUGAUUUUGUUUUGUAACUAGUAAACGAUGUUGGCAGUCUAUGAAGGCAACCAUUUAUGAAAAUAUCACAGUAUAAAUCGUAAGAAUAUUUAAACAAAAAAUAUCUUUUGAACCAUUAAUGCGCUUUUUGCAGCAAAUCUAUUAAAUCGUAGUUGUCUGUCAUCUAAUUUGCUUUGAGCAAAAUGUGCAAAAGUAUUUGUUUAUCUUCUUCAUCUACAGAAUUGUCAAGUGCUGAACUGAAACACACACAUCGCUUUAAUGUUUGUUUGUUCGUUUACUUUUCUUGUUUAUUUUCUUUCUGUCUGCCAGUUUCUACUCUUUGUGUUUUUAUAGCUGAAGUUUGUCGCUGACAAGAACAAGAGUAUUUGACAACUGAAAUCUAAUUGAGAAAGAGAAAGUAACCAUAUGUGUAAAUAAGAUGGCUGGCUAAAGAAAGAAAUUCAUCACAUACACACAGUAUAAAUAAAAAAAUAUUAAAAAACCAGUACGCUAAGGGAAUCGCUCUUUUAUGAUAUUUAACCAAUAUCGUAACCCGUAUUGAUGAAUUUAUUACAGAAAAAAACUCACGCACAAAAAUUCACACAUUCGUGAUAAAAAAAUCAAAAACAAAAACCGGCAGCUAACACUGAAACUCCUACCCCGGCGGUAUAAUUGAAAUGUGUGUGUCCGAUCGAUCAUCAUGUAAGAUUUACCAACUAAUAUUGAAUGCCACCUCUUGAAUUACUAUGCCUUUUACAGAUCAAGAGAGAGUCCUGUUGUUAUUUGUUCUUUCUACAAAAAACACGCUUCAUAUCACACUUCCGUUGAUGUGAAGAGACUUGGCUAGCUAACUCACAAGCACUCUAAAAAUAUAGCUAAGGGAAUCGCUAAUAUUUUUUGUGACAAUAACGUUGCAGCAUAAGUAUAUAAUAUAUAAAAUUUUUAAUGAUUUUUGUGCGUGUUCCAUGUGUAUGUGUAAGAGCUGAUCAUGAUAAGCUGCUGCUGCUAAGGGAACAACCCAACCAACUCGCUCCAAAGUUGGUUAACACUAAACUUUUGACUUUAAACUUGUAUGAAUUUCUUACAGAACAUAAAAACCUAAUAAAACAGCAAAGAAAUACCACAACCACCAGCGCCACCAACCCACCCCAUUCUCAAAAAAGAAGCUUAAUACUGCUAAGGGAAUCGCAAAUGUUAUUAAAUAAUGAUGAUGAAAAUGUUGAAAAUCUGGUGGCUUCAUCUCCAUUUGAACAAAAAAUUCCAAUCUCAAAACUCAAGAACAAACAAAUCUAAAGCCGAGAGUGUAAGUGUAUGCUUAAGACACACGAAUGAAUCAUGAUUUUUUUUAUAAUUUUCAUAUCGACAAACAUAAAUUAAUCUUUAUUUACACGCUAAUGAAAUAAUUGCUAAGGGAAUCGCAAAAUAUUAUUUAAUCAUAAGCCUCGAAUGCCGUUGUGUUCGAUGUAACAUCACACAAUGGUUGCAAUAUUUAACUUGCAAGUGCAGAUAAAUAAAGUUGAAAUAAAUCGCCACACAAAGUGUGAGAGUGAUCAUAAAUUCUAAAUACGAAUGCAACUUGUGAGUUAAAACCCAAACACUGCCGCACUCAGAGAGUGCGUGUAUCAUGGCAAAUUUUGUAACAUCUAACACAUUAGCUGCUGAACACCAGGCAUUAUUUAAAUAUUUAAAUUAAAAAUCAUGUUAUUCAUAAUCUAAUAAACAUGUGCAAAGAGUAUAACUGAAGGAAAAGUUUAUAAAUUAAUGUGUGGUUACUAUUUGAUUCUAGAGUAAAGGCUUGAAAAACUUGUGAUUGUAACUUAUGGCAUAAAAUAAAACCCAAAGAAGUCACAUUACCCGGCGUUGUUGCUUCUAUAGAAAGAUCAUGUACCAUAUGAUCGAUCGUACUUCGAAUGUAAAUCCUAUCUUUGUACCCUUAAAGAUUCGGUAAUUCGUUAAAUAGAGCACAUCUUUGUAAAAAUCAUCACUCUCGUAUGAUUAAUUUAUCCAUAUAAUAAAAAUCACUUGUUUUGUUUAGUCUUAUAUUAUGUAUGUUGGAUGACAUUGCUUCUGGAUAUCUUAAGUAUAUAGUCAUAUAAAUACAAACGUAAAUUUUAGAGAACAAAUUUGAAAUGUAACCACAUUCACAAAAAAUAAAAACCCAUUCACCAAAUACUCGCUCAAAUAUCAGUAUAAACAAAUAAUGUCGUAGCUUUUGUUGGAAAUAUGAUGUACAAAAAAUGCCUAACAACACAAGCGGCUCAGACUGAGCCAGCCAACCCAUGCUGCUUGAAAGUUCCACUAUAUUUUUGCAAAAGAAAUUGUGUGAAAACUUACUUGCGAGCGCUACAUGCAUGUUCAGAAGAACGUGUCUAAAAACAACAGCAGCAGUACAGCUGUCAAAAAAAACAACCAACCAACAAAAAAAUAGAUUUUUUUUUUGUUUUCCAUCUCUUUUUGAUUUUUAUAGGAUUAUGUAACAGUUGAACUGUGCCUGUGCAUAAUUUUGAGGCAGUCAUUCCUAACAGAUUGAAAAAGGCUUAAUGUAAUUUAUACCAAUGAAAGACAGACAGAGAGAGAGAGAACACGUAGCCAGACAACAUUCAACUUUAGCUCUUCAACGUUUUUUUUCUUUCUCGUAUUUCUUUCUUGUUUUCUUGCUUCUUAUUAACUUUUUUGUAGCCUCAUGUCUCAGUUGAUCGGUGCCUGGACAUGGUGAGAGAGCGAGCUUCCAUUUUGGGGGUGACAACUAUUGUCAAACUUUCUUUUCUUCUUUCUUUUUUUUAUUUGUUUGUUUUUUUUGUUCUACGUUUUCUUUUUUUAUAACUUCUUUUUUAGCUUUAUGUCACAGUUGAUCGGUGCCUGUGCAUAAGUUGUUUAAAAAAAAUAACAAGUGAUGAGAGGGAGAAAGAGAGAGACAGUUUAACAAAAGUAGUUUGGGCCAAGCGUUCUUCCUCAAAGAGCGCCGUGACUAGCACUAACAAAAAAUAUGGGAAUGUUUCUUUUCUUCUCGAAUUUUCUUUCUAUUUUUUUUUAUUAUUAUUAUCAAAGUUUUAGCAUUAUGUCACAGUUGAUCGGUGCCUGUGCAUAAAUAUGCAUUAAUUGAGGCUUUCCUUAGAUUGGAGAGAGGAGUGUCGCGAAGAAGAGAGCGAAUAUAGACGAACAGGAAGAAGAGUGGCUUAACCAGACCCCAGACUGUUGUUGGUUUCUGUUUUUGUUCUCUUUUUUUGUGUUUUUAUUUUUCUAUUUCUUUGAAGACUCUUUUUUUGCUUACUGUUUUGCCAGUAGAGUAGAUCCAGAAUAUUUUCUAGCUUCAUACGCAGUUGAUCGGUGCCUGUGUAUGACUUGUAAGGGCCAGACUUGUGGGCUACACUUAUUGCUUGAAAUCAGCUGCUGGUAUAAACCAACCAAGUUCCCUAACUGAAUGAACAUUUAUUUAAGUGUGAUUGUGAAGAAGAGCUGUUUUCUGUCAGCUGCUGCUUGACUCGACUACAGCCAUUGUUGACUCGCCAGCUUGACAAUCGACCGAUAAAACUUAAGAAAACAGGUUAUUUUUUAAAUUUCAAUUCCUCUUGGCUAAUUUGUACCAUUUACAGGCAUUUCCCUCCAAGCACAAGUACUAUAAAUGUAUUGAAUUUUUCAUUUUCCUAUCCACUUUACCACACACCACCACGAACACAAAUAUCUCUAUCCAUCCAUCUACAAAUAUCGUUAAAGGGAAUCUAUACGAUACAACAACUCAGCAGGGCUUCAUAAACACAAAACGCAAAACCAUUACAUGUUUCUAAAAAGGGAAUCCAGAAACACGGCGCCCACUCUAUUUUCUUUCUCUAACUAUUUUUUUUAACCAGCUAUUUUCUAAUUUAUUUUUCAUUGUAAUUUCAAUCAAAACCAAAAAAAAAGCAAAAGAAUUUUUUUUUUAAUUUUUUACAAUUUAAAACGAUAAUUUUUAAGCCAAAACAAGAUAAAAAUGAAAUGUAACCGAAAAAGAAAUGAAAAACAGACCAAUCAAACCCUCAAAUGUUUUGUACGCCAAAAAAAAAUUAAACUACAUACUAUAAAUAACAAUUUUGUUCAAAAUUUUCAUCUGUAUUACUGCCUAUAAUAGUUUUUUAAAUGAAUUAUUAUCUUUGUAUUUCCACAAUUGUCAAAUAUUAGUCAUUGUUAUAAAAUAUUCUAUUCUACAUCUACUACAAUUAAUUAUUCCACAAACUAUGAAAUGUCACUUUUUAGAUUUGUAGCUAGAUAGUAACGAAAUUUGUUAAAUUAAAUUAAUUUUAUUUAAUUCUGUUCUUGUAAAGUAUUUUCUCAUUUUGUUGUUUAAACAAUUCUUUGUAAAAUAAUUUUUGUUAAACUCUGUUUUUUUUUAUAAAUUGUUUUGUAAUUUUGAAAUUUUACAAUUAAUUAACUGAAAUCAAAUCAACUACUGCUGGGGAAUGAAUGAAUGUGAUCCCGACCUGUACAAAAUACAAACAUUUGAGUGCGAGAGAGGGAGAAAUGAAAGCAAGCGGAAAAUUAACACAAAAGCCUAUAAUCGUCUAUGAGGGAUAUCUAAAGGGAGAGUGAGAGAGAGAGGAGAUAAAUACACACAGGGUUUUGCGAUUCCAAAAAAAGCCAAGGGAAUACAUGAGCCAGGAGAUUAGUUUAACGAUAUGCAAUUCAGAGAGAGGGCGAGAGAGAGUAAAGUAUUUAUUACCAAAACCUAGUUUCAAUCUGCGACCGUAAUCCAAACCGGCAGCCACAAAUUAGCAACUGAAAUCCUUGAUUACCACUACACAUAAUUAUAAUUUAUACAAAUCACCAAGGUGUUUCGUUAUCAUCAACAACCAGGACCUCUAAUAUGUCCUAAACAGCAAAUGCAUCAUAUCAGCCUUUAAACACCUAAUACAACACAUCAAUUCUUCUCCUAUUAAACUAUAUUGGAAAUGAUGUUACAUUUUCCAAACAGUACUACUACUACUACAUCUUCGUUGAAGAUACAAAUCUUUCAACCACAACAAAUUUAAUUUAAAUUUUCCAAAGAUGUGAAUCAUCAAACAUCAUCAAAUCAACAACAUUUCUUCAACUACAAAAUGAAGAAGUUUGUAAUGUUGCUACAACGAAUACAAAGUCUUCCAAAUAUGCAGCUGCUAAUACACGACAACAAUUCUAAAGACUUUGGGUCUUCUUCAAAAUAACUGCAAAACAGACUUUGGUCUUCCGAAUUCUUUGAUGCGUUUGCCACAACGAUUUAUGGUAAUCAUCUUCCAUCUUCAAUCCCUGUAAUAAACAUUAACUAAAAUCACAAAACUUAUAAAAUGAGGCAGACAAUCUUAAUAUCAUUAACGACAUAAAUUCCAAACACCUGAGUUGUUGUUCCCAAAUCUUCAGAUUAGAGAGAGAGAGAGAAAGAGAUAUAAUAAAUAGAGGGCUGUAACACACUUCAAGUCUUACAUGUUGCCUAAAUAAUAAUCAUCAUCACCAACACCAUAACUAUAACAACUUUUGCUAAAGAAUGACUUUUAUCUAAAAAAAAACACAAUUAAAUCUAUAACAAAUCUUUGAGAAAAUGCUGGGUCAGAGUUCUUGUACAAAAAAACACCAUUGUGUCAUCAUUAUCAUCACCAUCGAUCGGUCCUAGAACAUAGUUGAAGAGGAAAGCUUGCUUUAUGAUCUCUAAAAAGCGAUUGUCAUCUUGAUUACUAAAUGAAUAUUGUUGUGAGACGACUUAUGGACUCUAUAUUUAAAUCUUAUUAUACAUAAUAUCACUACUACCAAACACCUUGAUCUUCUAUAUUCAAAUUUCACCACUGAGUUUAAAAUUAUCCAGAGCAUAAAUGAGAGAAAGAGAGAACGAACGCGUAUAAACUAGAGAAAAAAAGACUUCUUAACUUCAAACAGACUUUUCAACAAGAACGAACACACAUAAUAAAUCCACAACAUCGUCCAACGUAAGAGGGACGACUUCGCUUUGAAAUCAGAAGCAUUAGAAAGUAUUAGAAACUAAAUAUCAAUUACAUCAAUUAUUGUUCGAUCACAUUCGUUCUGGUUGCUAUGCGAUCAAUCCUUGAGCUGUUAAUCUAUCAACCAAAUCCUUGAGUUUUGUGGCAGCAGACGUUCUACUUGCCACCACUCACUUUCAAGAUGCUAUAGGACCACUGAAUUACCAUUCCUUUCCUCUUAUUAACGAAUACUACUACUACAUCCAACACCACCAAUUUUGCUUGUAUACAUCUAAAAUCCUGGGACUGUCAGUUGUUCUCCACUACUUUGAAUAUGUCUCUGAGUCCAGCCCCUAUAGUUUUAUGCGGCAAAUCUUAAAAAUUCUAUUGGGAAGAAUAUCUAUUCGUCUUCAGCAAAUUACAACAGUUUACUACAUAACAACACCAACAUAUCAACUUUAACAUCAGCACUAUCAUCACCAACAAAUCAACUUUAAAACAUCAUCAGCACUAUCAUCACCAACAAAUCCUUGAAAUAUUUCCGAAUUGACGGCGGCGAGGGACUUCCAAGUUUUGACGGCGGCGUGGGACUACCAUGAUAUGACGGCGGCGAGGGAUUUCCAUGAUUUGACGGCGGCGUGGGUCUUCAAGGAGCUGACGGCGGCGAGGGACUUCUACGAUUUGAUGGCUGCGGGGGUUCUCCAGGUACAGACGGCGGCGUGGGAUUUUCAUUGCGGACGGCAGCGAGGGACGAGGGUCUUCUAGGUGCUGAGGGCGGCGAGGGACUUCGACAUAUUGUUGGCGGCGGGGAUUCUCCAGGUGCUGAUGGCGACGUAGGACAUCCAUGUAUCAUCGGGGCAGGGCGGAGUUGCAGGGUCGGCGUAGCGGUUCAAUUCCUAGGUUCUUCGUUGUUUGGCAGGUUUCCGGUUAAGCAUUGUAUAGGGGCGUUUUUCAAGUAUUGACUGCGGCGUGGGAAUCCAAGUUUUGACUGCUGCGAGGGAAUCCAAGUUUUGACUGCGGCGAGGGAUACCAAGUUUUGACGGCGGCGAGGGAAGCCAAGUUUUGACUGCGGCGAGGGAUGCCAAGUUUUGACUGCGGCGAGGGAUACCAAGUUUUGACGGCAGCGUGGGAUACCAAGUUUUGACGGCGGCGAGGGAUACCAAGUUUUGACUGCGGCGUGGGAACAUCACAUCGACGGCGGCGAGGGAUCCAGCGUGCUGAUUUGCUUCUUUGUUACUUUUUUUCCAUCCAUCACUCCACUAAAUUCAUUGCCAACAAUAAUAAGGAUGGUUUUUUUCUUUCUAUUCCAAACAAAUUCACCUAAACUAUAUUGAAAUUUGAAUUCCUCUGAUAACGACACCUUCGAAAUUGUGUAGAAUUUGUAUUAUAAUCAUUUUUUUUUAUUUAAAACAUUUAAAAUUUCCACUAAUCAUAUUUUUUGGUUUUAUGUAACAAAAAUUGUUAAAUAAAAUUUGUUAUUUGAAAAAAGUAAAUGAAAAAAAAUAUUAAAAGAAAAUAGUUUCACUUGCAAAUUAAAUACAUCAAUAGAAACCUCAAACUUAAUUAAUAAAAAAAUGUUUGAUUGAAAAAAUUAAA
Molecule: long non-coding RNA, 11452 nt
Organism: Calliphora vicina (urban bluebottle blowfly)
Lineage: Eukaryota; Metazoa; Arthropoda; Insecta; Diptera; Calliphoridae
Exons: 3
Source: RefSeq, a predicted model, not a curated record